UACGUAGGGGGCAAGCGUUGUCCGGAUUUAUUGGGCGUAAAGAGCGUGUAGGCGGCCUGGAAGGUCAGCUGUGAAAACUCGAGGCUCAACCUCGAGACGUCGGUUGAAACCACCUGGCUAGAGUCCGGAAGAGGAGAGUGGAAUUCCCGGUGUAGCGGUGAAAUGCGCAGAUAUCGGGAAGAACACCCGUGGCUAAGGCGGCUCUCUAGUACGGUACUGACGCUGAGACGCGAAAGCGUGGGGAGCAAACAGG
Molecule: ribosomal RNA, 253 nt
Filed under: uncultured bacterium
Lineage: Bacteria
Description: partial 16S ribosomal RNA
Rfam family: Bacterial small subunit ribosomal RNA
Source: RNAcentral